CCUACGGGAGGCUGCAGUGAGGAAUAUUGGUCAAUGGACGAGAGUCUGAACCAGCCAAGUAGCGUGAAGGAUGACUGCCCUAUGGGUUGUAAACUUCUUUUAUAUGGGAAUAAAACGUUCCACGUGUGGGAUUUUGUAUGUACCAUAUGAAUAAGGAUCGGCUAACUCCGUGCCAGCAGCCGCGGCAAUACGGAGGAUCCGAGCGUUAUCCGGAUUUAUUGGGUUUAAAGGGAGCGUAGGUGGAUUGUUAAGUCAGUUGUGAAAGUUUGCGGCUCAACCGUAAAAUUGCAGUUGAAACUGGCAGUCUUGAGUACAGUAGAGGUGGGCGGAAUUCGUGGUGUAGCGGUGAAAUGCUUAGAUAUCACGAAGAACUCCGAUUGCGAAGGCAGUUCACUGGACUGCAACUGACACUGAGGCUCGAAAGUGUGGGUAUCAAACAGGAUUAGAUACCCCUGUAGUC
This 460-nucleotide ribosomal RNA is filed under the name uncultured bacterium. RNAcentral's name for it is "partial 16S ribosomal RNA". It matches the Rfam family "Bacterial small subunit ribosomal RNA", at positions 338 to 795 of the family's 1533-position model. The record is from RNAcentral.